CAAUAGCGUAUAUUAAAGUUGUUGCAGUUAAAAAGCUCGUAGUUGGAUUUCUGGUAGGAGUGACCGUUACGAACUUGAUUGUUCGUGUAUUGUGUUUUCUCCAGCCAUCCUUGUGGAGAACUUUUCUUGCAUUAAUUUGUAGGGAUUGGGACCCGCAUCGUUUACUGUGAAAAAAUUAGAGUGUUUAAAGCAGGCAAUCGCUUGAAUACAUUAGCAUGGAAUAAUAAGAUAGGACUUUGGUACUAUUUUGUUGGUUUGCAUACCAAAUUAAUGAUCAACAGGAACAGUUUGAGGAUAUUCGUAUGAACAUGUCAGAGGUGAAAUUCUUGGAUUUUGAUCAGACGAACUACUGCGAAAGCAUUUAUCAAGGAUGUUUUCAUUAA
Molecule: ribosomal RNA, 383 nt
Filed under: uncultured eukaryote
Lineage: Eukaryota
Description: partial 18S ribosomal RNA
Rfam family: Eukaryotic small subunit ribosomal RNA
Source: RNAcentral